This is a long non-coding RNA of Prosopis cineraria, 1236 nucleotides long. RefSeq lists it as uncharacterized. The record is from RefSeq and is a predicted model, not a curated record. The transcript is spliced from 3 exons. Lineage: Eukaryota; Viridiplantae; Streptophyta; Magnoliopsida; Fabales; Fabaceae.
CGUCCCCUUCCUCAUUCAUCUUGAUAGAACUGUGAUUUGGAGGAACCGAUUUCGUAAUGAUCUUCGUAAAGUGUUAAUAUCGUUUUAACUUCAAUAUUCUAGUAUGAUUUAACCUCAAUGGGUUCCAAAACUUAAUCCCGAGUGUGCUGCUGCACAAAGUUCUGGGCUUGCUGUGCAAUUGCUUGUAACAUGUUCUAAUUGGAUCCUUCUAUGAAAAAUCAUGAGUUCAAAGUGAUGCUUAUAUUUCUAUGGUUCAUAUGAUUUUACCUUGCCUUUCGAAUAAACUUUACACCAAACUGCCGAGCAAAUGUUUGUCUGAUAGUUCGUAAUAUAAUAAUUUUUUGCUUUCUAGUUGACCUUGUGGCAGCUUCCUAUGUCAAUGCUUACUAACACUGUUGACUGUUGCUAUUGCUGCUGCUAAUAGAGUUAGAGAUUGCUUCCGCUCCUUUUAUUUUAUUUUUCUAAAGACUUUUAGGGGUUUCAGAUUUCUCAUUCUUGAAAACCUAGCUGUGAGUUUCCCAUAGACUUGCCUUCCAUACUAUAUUCUUGAAUUAACUGAGCAUUGGUGGUGACGGUGACUAUGAUUAGAGCAUUAGUGAGCUUAGUACUUAACAGUUUAUUUCUUUCUUUGUUCCUAAAUAAAACAUACCCUUUAACAGUGGUUUGAUUCAAUAGUUGGUAUGCAUGCCUUGCAUAAACCUUAAUCUUGUGUUAAGGCUUAUUUCCCAAAUAAAGCAUGUCCAUCUUAAGCUUGAGGAAAUGAUCCUUUGUCUCUGGCUUUGCAUGUGACAAUUGUUCUUGCUGUCAAAGAUUUAAUUCUGGUUUUGCUUUGAUAAAAUGAACCAUUGGCCUUAGCUUUGCAUGAGAAAAACUUGUUUUAGUGGCAGUAAAUGUGUAGGUACUGUUUAAAUUCUAAAAUGUUUCAUAUUUAUAUAUUUUAUGCAUCUGUGAUUGAUUUUAGUUUCUGUAUAGGCAGAUUCUGUUUUGGGUUAUUAAAUUAGGUAACGGGAGUGAUUGUAUUACUUACAAUCUCCAUUUACUUAUAUAUACAAUUGGCAUUGGAGUAUCCUUUCACGCUCAAGCUGUUUCCUUGAUAGCGUAGCUCAAUGUCCAUGAUUUCAUUUAGUUUGACUUGGUGGUAUUGUGCUCUCCAGCUAAGGAGGCUGUUUUCCUUGUGUUAAGUUUGGUGAGGUUUCUUUUGUAGCAAAGGGGAAGCACGGAGCUUGAUUUGAAUAC